AUCCCAGUAGUACAAUGAAUAGCACGUUUGACUUCUAAUAUAAAGGUCGUUGGUUUGAAUCCCACCUGGGAUG
Molecule: non-coding RNA, 73 nt
Organism: Trichonephila clavata
Lineage: Eukaryota; Metazoa; Arthropoda; Arachnida; Araneae; Nephilidae
Source: the annotation of a GenBank genome assembly